CGGGGUGUGGCGCAGGCUUGGUAGCGCGCGUCGUUCGGGACGACGAGGUCGCAGGUUCAAAUCCUGUCACCCCGAC
Molecule: transfer RNA, 76 nt
Filed under: Demequina litorisediminis
Lineage: Bacteria; Bacillati; Actinomycetota; Actinomycetes; Micrococcales; Demequinaceae
Description: tRNA-Pro
Rfam family: tRNA
About the family: Transfer RNA (tRNA) molecules are approximately 80 nucleotides in length. Their secondary structure includes four short double-helical elements and three loops (D, anti-codon, and T loops).
Source: RNAcentral